This 497-nucleotide ribosomal RNA is filed under the name uncultured bacterium. RNAcentral describes it as "partial 16S ribosomal RNA". It matches the Rfam family "Bacterial small subunit ribosomal RNA", at positions 28 to 507 of the family's 1533-position model. The record is from RNAcentral.
GAUGAACGCUGGCGGCGUGCCUAAUACAUGCAAGUCGAGCGAACAGACGAGGAGCUUGCUCCUCUGACGUUAGCGGCGGACGGGUGAGUAACACGUGGAUAACCUACCUAUAAGACUGGGAUAACUUCGGGAAACCGGAGCUAAUACCGGAUAAUAUAUUGAGCCGCAUGGUUCAAUAGUGAAAGACGGUUUUGCUGUAACUUAUAGAUGGAUCCGCGCCGCAUUAGCUAGUUGGUAAGGUAACGGCUUACCAAGGCGACGAUGCGUAGCCGACGUGAGAGGGUGAUCGGCAACACUGGAGCUGAAACACGGUCCAGACUCCUACGGGAGGCAGCAGUAGGGAAUCUUCCGCAAUGGGCGAAAGCCUGACGGAGCAACGCCGCGUGAGUGAUGAAGGUCUUCGGAUCGUAAAACUCUGUUAUUAGGGAAGAACAAAUGUGUAAGUAACUAUGCACGUCUUGACGGUACCUAAUCAGAAAGCCACGGCUAACUACGUG